UCAGUUGUCUUUCUCAUUUAAUGCUCCACACACGUGUCAUCUUCUGAUUGGACUACAAUUAUGCACCCUUUUUCAAAGCUUCUUUACUCCAUUAUUCACGAAGUGAUAGUUAUCUUUAUUAUAGGCUUUCCAUUAUUACGCUUCUAAGUUUGAUGGUUGUCAUCGUCUACAUAUUUAACCUUUUUCUUCCUUUGUCUUCUUCUUCACAAACCUUUAGCAAAUACUUUCGACCUUACUUUUGCUUUUUUC
This 249-nucleotide long non-coding RNA is filed under the name Nicotiana benthamiana. Its description in RNAcentral is "long non-coding RNA (NBEN_LNC004475)". Lineage: Eukaryota; Viridiplantae; Streptophyta; Magnoliopsida; Solanales; Solanaceae. The record is from RNAcentral.